GCGGAGUUUUCCUUCGGGGAUAACUUAGCGGCGGACGGGUGAGUAACACGUAGGCAACCUGCCUGUAAGAUCGGGAUAACUACCGGAAACGGUAGCUAAGACCGAAUAAUCAGCUUGGUCGCAUGACCGAGCUGGGAAAAGCGGAGCAAUCUGCUACUUACAGAUGGGCCUGCGGCGCAUUAGCUAGUUGGUGGGGUAACGGCUCACCAAGGCGACGAUGCGUAGCCGACCUGAGAGGGUGAACGGCCACACUGGGACUGAGACACGGCCCAGACUCCUACGGGAGGCAGCAGUAGGGAAUCUUCCGCAAUGGACGCAAGUCUGACGGAGCAACGCCGCGUGAGUGAUGAAGGUUUUCGGAUCGUAAAGCUCUGUUGCCAGGGAAGAACGCUUGGGAGAGUAACUGCUCUCAAGGUGACGGUACCUGAGAAGAAAGCCCCGGCUAACUACGUGCCAGCAGCCGCGGUAAUACGUAGGGGGCAAGCGUUGUCCGGAAUUAUUGGGCGUAAAGCGCGCGCAGGCGGCUUUGUAAGUCUGGUGUUUAAACCUAGGGCUCAACCCUGGGUCGCAUUGGAAACUGCAAGGCUUGAGUGCAGAAGAGGAGAGUGGAAUUCCACGUGUAGCGGUGAAAUGCGUAGAGAUGUGGAGGACCACCAGUGGCGAAGGCGACUCUCUGGGCUGUAACUGACGCUGAGGCGCGAAAGCGUGGGGACCAACCAGGAUUAGAUACCCUGGUAGUCCACGCCCUAAAACGAUGAAUGCUAAGUGUUAAGGGGUUUCGAUA
RNAcentral lists this ribosomal RNA (784 nucleotides) under Paenibacillus sp. IMCC1750. RNAcentral's name for it is "bacterial SSU rRNA". It matches the Rfam family "Bacterial small subunit ribosomal RNA", at positions 66 to 836 of the family's 1533-position model. The record is from RNAcentral. Lineage: Bacteria; Bacillati; Bacillota; Bacilli; Caryophanales; Paenibacillaceae.